This 31-nucleotide non-coding RNA is filed under the name Homo sapiens (human). Lineage: Eukaryota; Metazoa; Chordata; Mammalia; Primates; Hominidae. The record is from RNAcentral.
UUGCACAUUAGCAGUUACUACCCAUUUCCAA